GCCCGCAUGGCUCAGUGGUAGAGCGUGUCACUAGUAAACUCUAGAGCAUGACAAGGUCGUCAGUUCGAUUCUGGCUGUGGGCA
Non-coding RNA from Chaetomidium leptoderma, 83 nucleotides. NCBI's taxonomy places the organism in Eukaryota, Fungi, Ascomycota, Sordariomycetes, Sordariales, Chaetomiaceae. The record is from the annotation of a GenBank genome assembly.